Molecule: long non-coding RNA, 8449 nt
Filed under: Triticum aestivum (bread wheat)
Lineage: Eukaryota; Viridiplantae; Streptophyta; Magnoliopsida; Poales; Poaceae
Description: long non-coding RNA (TAES_LNC020597)
Source: RNAcentral
GGCUGUGUUUCCAACCUCUGCAGUAUGACAAUGCCAACACAUUAGAUAUUAAUUUGAAGAAACAUGAAGGCAAAAGGUUAAAAAAGAGUAAAUGCACUUACUUCUCCCCAUUAGGCGCAAUCAACCACCUCUGCUAGCGGGUCGCUGACAAGGGCGGGAUCUUUCUACCACCAUGCUGGUAGACCUGCCCCCCUCGACCAGCUCACCCUCGCUAUAGCUAUCAUCAGAAAAGCGGUCCUCGCCACCAUCAGCAUGGCCACUAGCCUCCGUAGUCUCAUGGCUAACGUGACGAUGGUGACCGGUGGCUGUGGUGGAGGAAGAAGGUCUGAUGUCGAUGAGGCAGUGCGGCUCCGGUCGAACGAGUCCUCAUAGAUGCAGACACUGAUGGUGGUCCUCCAGGGCCUCAACUCGCUGCUCGAGGAGGCUGUUGGCCAAGGCUGCUGCGUGCGAUGGCCGAAGGCGGGGGAGAUCGGCGGGCGCCGAAGGGAUGACUCCCCGGGGUCGAUUCAAUGGCGCGGUCGAAGCAGCGGACGGCGGCGAUGCUGCAGGAAAGGUCGGAGAUACUUGGGGGAGGUGGUGGCCACGGCUACGUGGCGGCCAUGGCCAUGGUGGCGCUCGGCGAGGAGGGAGGGUGAGUGGCGAUCUGGAGAGCGAGGGGGAGGCGGAGAGGGAGAGCUGGUUGGAGUGGGUGAUUGGGGAGGGAGCCCGAGGCGUUAGAGCUGCCCUUAUCCCCUCGGCGGCGACGUGGCAGUACGGGGUGGCACGCCUGGUCCGGCGGGGACACGACCCGAUCGGAGGAGCAGUGAGGAAGGGGAUCGACUGCGCGGGGAAAGGUGGGGCGGCUUGUUGGGGUGGGCUAAAGCCUAGUGGGGCAAGGGGGCUUCUCUCCUUUCCUUUUGCCUUUCUUUUGCUCUUUUCUUUUUACAGAAAAAUGGUUUGUAACUUUUGAGCUGCCAAAAGGAUUAUGUAAAAUGUGGGACUUAGCCACAUAAUUACAUUGCAAUAGUUGGCACUGCCACAAAAAGAUUGUGAGGCUUUUGAAAUAGUUUGCAAUUUUUAUAAAUUAAAAAGGCAUUUAAUCUAUUGUUUUAGCCACUAUUUUAAACAGUUUAGUGCACUUAAACACUUUGCAAAAUGUUGUUUCACUACCAAUAUUAGUUAUGGAUUAUUUGGCACAUGAUGAACAUUUUAGUUUUCAUGUUUCAAGAAAUAUUAUAUUUGACUUUAUUUUAAAUUUGAAGUUGAACUGGUUUAGAUAAAAAUGAAUUUUAGCAAAAUUAAUUAUGAUGAUGUGGCAUCAUUAGUGGGAGAUUACUGUAGCAUGAUUCUUGGGGUGUUACAAAUCUCCUCCACUAUAAGAAAUCUCGUCCCGAGAUUCAAGUGGUAGAGUUAGGGGGAAAGUUCUGGUUACGAAAUUCUAACGGAUCUUGGGUUGCUAUUCUCGAAGAAGUUGAUCCAUAGCGUUGAUGUCUUCAUUUCUAUGCACCAAUGCAUCCUGAUGAAGUUGUCGUCCUUCCUUCAGGAUCUUCAUCGUACUUACAAAAGGAUAAGAGGGGAAACUCUACAAGGACGAAUUUUAACAAGUUUGAGCAUCAGACGGUUAACUUAGGGGAAGAAGCAUAAAGUAUCUCUCGAGUUGAUUACAUGAAACACAUCGAAAGCAUUAUAAGAGGGUACAAAAGUCUCAUACGGGUAAGAAAUCGUGCGAUGCCUAAAGUAGAGUGUGAAGGGGGGGUUCAAAGCAAUGAAAUAAGUACUGCGGCCGAAACCAAAAUAGAUCAACUCUAGGAAGGUGGCUCGGGAUCUACAUAUGAAACCAAGCGUGAGGAAUAACACUGGAAUCUGGGGGGUAUAGGAGAAUCAGGUUUCGAUCCUGUGGAACUUUAGGUUAUGGGCCCACCAUGUGGGUUAAAAGUAGAAAGGACGCUGACAUCUUGCACGGGCACGAUAGCAAGGAAGGUCAGAGGAUAGCCUGUCAGUUAUGUUGGCAACAACGUUGAUACCAAGGACGAGGGAUGAAGAGAACCAAUUUCCUGCUCGUUGAACGAGGCAGACCAAUAGGCAAAGUUCUCACCCAUCGGUGGUUACCGGUAUGUCAUCAACACUAGUAACAGGGUUUUACUGAUAGAGUUGUACACCGAGUGUUUACAUAAACAUGGAAAUAUUACUGCUUAUAUCAUAUAGAUCACAAGAAAGGUUAAACAAAACAAUGGAAAGGAAAAUGUGAUUGUUAUGAUAAUUAGACCAAUGGAAAGGAAAGGUGUUUAUACCCAAGUAUUAGAGUAUAACUUUCCCAAGGAAAGGCAGAGCAGGAUAUACAUGAUAGGGCUCCAGAUAUGAAACCAUUUAGACAAAGGGGCAAGGAAUUUAUGAGAUUUACCCAUACAAUGGUGUUUUGGAUUAUUGAUCAAGAAACAAUUAGCAUUGUGCUCCCAAUGUUCUUGUUGAUGAUCGUUGUACCACAAACAUGCUUUGGGGUAGCAUUGACAUGGUCAUUAAGGAAAGGUUAGACUUUGGAUACACAAAGGAUCCAUUGGAACAACUUAUAAAAUAAGUCAUACAAUUUCAACAAGAAAAAGAUGAUUUUGUGGCCGUCGGGCUCAACAACAAUUCAUCGAGGGGGCAAGGAUGGUAUUUCUCAUCAUGAAUUAGAUUGAUAACCUAGAAGAGCUUAGAAUGUUGAUGAUGAUCACGUCAUAUUUGUCGAGAGGUUACAUGAAGAUGUAAUCGAUCGGUGAUGACAUCAAUUCAAAGGAAUUAUGAGGCGAAAGAUUAUUGGAACCACUAGUACGACACAAACUCAAAAUCAAGCCUGCUGUUCAAGGCUAAAUGAUAUGACGAGGAAGAUCGACGUAGGCUUAGCUCAUCAUCAAAAAUUGUGCUCUAGGAAGAAGGACCAGGUAGCAUGGUUAAAAUUUAGCACGAUAAUGGUAUAGCCGAUCAGGCUAGGAAUGACUUGAAGGAUUAUUAAACUCACAAGUUAUGAAAAUUACAUAGAGUUAUUGAAUCAGAGUGCGGAAUCGAUUCAGUUAUCGGUGUUCUCGAGUGACUAACCAAGUCAAACCUAUGGAAUAACUAAGACAGUGAGAGUAUUAUUCCAACAAGAAAUCAUAGGAGAUAGUGCAAUGACACCAUAUCAUCGAGAUAUCAGGGGGCAAUACUCGAAGGUAGAUCAGAAUAGAGGUUGGACUGGUGAAUUGAUCUGCGGAAGGCAAGUGCUUUCACAUGUCCGAGAAAUGGGAUCAAAGAAGAACAAUAUGGUCCGGACCACGAUUGCAAAAGACCAAAUCCCAGAUAUAAGAUGAUCUUAUACCAAGGGGAUAAUUAAUUUUAAGAGAAGCUUCCAUGAUAAUAUCUACAUCGUGUCCAUGGGCAUGAACACAAAGCUCAAGGUCGACUCCCACUUUUCCAAUGCAUAACCUUCCAUUCACUUCUCGUUUUGAAAGUAGUAUUAGUGUUGAAAGUUUUACUUGGUGAAAUACCAGAUGGGUAUGACCCGUGAAAUCCUUCGGAUUCACAAAGAUUAGGGAAGGCAUAGGUUCAACCCAGUGGGGCAUCUUAGGAACAUAUACCACAAACUUUAAGAGAAAGAAAACACAAGCUCGAAAGCAGAGCAUGGUUGAAAAAACAGGGGAUACAUUCUACCAAAGGCAUUAUGUAUCAGGGGAAGAACUCACAAGGAUUUUAAAUAUGCAGAGCUAUUGGAUAAUAAUCCACCAAAAGGAUCUAGCAGACCAUAAAGAAUCUGACGUGAGUAUCAAUGUUCAACCAGAAGAAGUAAUGCAAGGGCAUCGAAAUAUAGAAGUCUCUGCAUAAUUUCAAAGCUUAAAUACAAAGGAAUUAAGAUUUCCGAAUCAGGAGAUCAGAAGCAGAGGCUCUGAACAAAAGACAAGUAAGUUGAAUAGAUGUAGACCGACAACCAAUCAAGGUUUGAUUUGUCAAGAACCAGCUCAUAUCAGGAAUGACUCCUGCGCUAGAGGUAUAAUGUCUAAGGAUCAAAUGAUGAUUGUGACUAUUUGCACACAUAUUGAGUCAAAGGCUCAAGUAACGAUGAAAAAGGAUACUAAUAAAUUUUGCUAGACAUAUGGGAAUUAACCAUAAUGCUGGAAGACAAGUAUUUGCAGAGCAAUAGGUUGCUGAGGAUUUCGGAAGAUCGAAUAACAUUUUGAAGAAUUUUGUGAAUCGCAUGAAUGACUGGGGAUGAACAGAUCCCUGGUAAGUGUGAGGAAUUAUUCGUAGGGGUAAUCAUGCGGCAAGGAAUUGCAAGGUAGUGGCACAAGGGAUUCUGAAAAGUCGGAGAAUAAUCCGAUGUAUCUUGUAAUAACAAGAGCAACUAGGAAUAGAAGUAUGAAUGACAUGUGUAAGAAGUUAUCCAUAGGGGUUGACGGCGGAAGGGAAUUGCAAAAGCGAUCGGUAUCAGUCUUGAGAGAACAUCGAAGAGUAUCUUCGGAAUCUUCUGGUGCACCAAGCGAUCAAUUGGAAUGAGUGGCUCUCUGGGAGGAAGUAGUUACGAGAACCUAGAGUUAGAGUUAGUAAAAUCUUUAACCUAAAUAGAAGAGAGAUCAGAAUCCUAGGGUAAAGACGAGGAAUAAAAGAUCCUAAUACCACUCAAUGGCGACGUGGGCCCGUAAGCCACACAACCAUGUUAGUAAAACAAUUUCAUAUCCUAGACUCAACUUCGGCCAAGGAGUAGGAAAGGGGGCUACCUACAGGCAGUCGGCUCCGAUACCAACUUGUGACGCCCCCGAUUCAAUAGUAACUAAUCAUACAUGCAAAUGUGUAUGAUCAAGAUCAGGGACUUACAGGAAGAUAUCACAACACAACUCUAGACAAAAAUUAAAAUAAAACAAGCUUUAUAUUACAAGCCAGGGGCCUCGAGGGCUCGAAUACAAACGAGUCAGCGGAAGCAACAUUAUCUGAGUGCAGACAUGAGUUCAACAAGUUUGCCCUAAGAAGGCUAGCACAAAAGUAUCAACGCUCGAAAAGGCAAGGCCUCCUGCCCGGGAGCCUCCUCAACUACUCCUAGUCAUUGCCGGUCACCAUGUAGUAGUAGUCUCCGUCGGGGUAGUAGUAGUCGUCGGCAGUACCAUCUGGCUCCUGGGCUCAACCAUCUAGUUGCAGCAUCUGAGAAGAAUGAAAAGAGGUGGAAAAAGGGAAGCAAAGCAACCGUGAGUACUCAUCCAAAGUACUCGCAAGCAAGGAUCUACACUACAUAUGCAUCGGUAUCAAAGAAAUGGGUAGUAGCUGUGGACUAAAUUGCAGAAUGCCAGAAUAGAGGGGAAAGCCUUUCCUAUCAAAGACUAGCAUCUUCAAGAAGCUCCAAGCAUCUUGGAACAUUUAGAAGAGUAUAGAAAAGUAGUUUAUAUUUAGCAAACAUGUUGUAGCAUUAGCGCCCAGAGAUCCUUUCUUGACUCCCUACAAAAAAGCAAUCCCGGAGCCAUCAUAUCCAUUUCUAAUGCCUCAGCAUCCAGUUCUAGUUGUAUCGAUUGGGGUACAACUCUGAGCGUCCGUUACCGUGGACACGACUAUUCGAAUAGAUAGAAUACUUUCCUGUAGGGGUGCACAAACUUACCCAACAUGCUCGAUCAACUCCAGCCGGACGCACCAUCAGGUCAUGACCGGCCUUGGCCGAUCAACACGCCGCAACCCUACCUAGUCUCACCAGAGAGGCCAGCACGCCGGUCUACAUCCUAAGCGUGCUGGGGUCUUAGGCCCGUUGCCCUUUGCACUCCUGCAUGUUGCGAACGCAGCCGGUGAGCAGACCUAGCUACAUCCUUAAAUAAGGCAGGUGCUUACACAGUCUAACCCAGCGCGCGCCGCUCCAUCGCUGACGUUCUUGAGCUUUCGGCUAAUACAUACGAUGUAGAGUGCCCGUACUUAUUCCCACGUGGUGGUUAGUGUGAAAAGGCCAGAGGCCUACUCGAAUCAAAUAUCCAAUCCGUUAGUCUCUUGGUAGUGCGUGGUAACAAGCAUAGACUCAUGAUCAUGUGACCCCGUUGCCCCGCCUCAUGGACUUACAGCAAGGGCUAGGAAUGCCCGGCCGUGCCACAUAAUUAUCUCUCGGUUACCCUCCAGGUCAAACCAACUUCUCAUCACUCACGGGUAUCCCUCGGGGUCGACCCGGUGUCAUCAUGGUUAUGUGGUAAGUCAAAGUAACCCUGUUUCCCAAACAGCAAGGGGGAAACUCGAGGAAUCACCCUCAAUGGAUUCCCACUCGAUGUAACUAUCAAGGUGGACUUGAAGGAAUCACCCUCGGUGGUCCACACUUGAGGGGUUGCACGACAGAGUCGUUAUCGAGAGUGGUGAAGGAGGAAUCACCCUCGAGAGUGGUGAAGGAGGAAUCACCCUCGAUGAUCACGACCGAAUAGCUACACUAUAGGGUUAACAUCAGAAGUGCUGACGAGGGAUCACCCUCGGCACUCAAUAGUAACUUUAUAGUCGUAGAACUAAGGGGAUGAUGUGCGGUGUCGGGCCUAGGUAUCGACCACGUUGAUUGAGUCAUCAAACAUAAAGCGGGGCAACUAGGACAAGGUGGGGGUCACUGAUGGAUCUCUAACCAACCUAUACUAAACAGUUUAGGAUAAGCAGGUAAGGUAUGAAAGCAGGGAACAAAAACAGGCUAUGCAUCAGAAUAUCAGCAACCAAGUACAGUAACAAAAUCUAAUGCAAGCAUGAGAGAGAAUGAAAUGGGCGAUAUCAGAAUGAUCAAUGGGGGUUUGCUUUUCUGGUUGCUCUGGCAAGGAGGGGUUAUCAUCAAUGUAGUCGAUCACGGGGAUCGCCGGCAGUCUCGGGGUCUAUUGGAAAGAAGUAACGAAGGGGGAACACAAUAACUAACAGAGCAAUCAAAUCAUCACAAAGCAUAACAUGGUAGUACACGGUGCUAGGGGUGACCUAACGCAGUACUAGGUGUUACCAGCGAAGGGGGAAAACAACCAAGAACGUAGUUCCAGUGUUUGGCCUUUUUGGACAUGUGAAGUGAAGGGGGCAGUUGUAGGUUCACUAUGCUAGGGACGCGUGACGAAUGAACAGACUACGUAUUCGGAUUCAUCUCGAAAUUCUGAGCAACUUUCAUGUACAAAGUAUUUUCAUCGAUGAUACGAUUUAUUUUAUAUUGAUUUCUCAAAGUUUUAAACAUUUUCUGCAAUUACUGGAUUUAAAUUUAAUUCAAAAUUAAAAGGAUACAAUGCUAUGGGUACUCAGCGAGCGUACCCAACAGUGCACGUGUGUGGCCGACAGUGGGGCCCGGCUGCUGAGUCAGCAGCUGACCGCUCAACCCUUAUCCACUGGAAUAGUGGAGGGUGGCCCUACCUGUUAUAGGCAGCUGGCUUAAACUGAGGGUUAUAUUAAAAGGAGAUUGAUUAAAGGUGUGGGGCCCAUGUGUCAGGGGCAUAUUAACUUAACAAGGGGUUAGUUUUGUUAGGUAAUUAGGGAGAGGGGCCAAGUAGUCAGUGCGUGAUUAGGGGGAUGUUAGCGGCUAAUGGCGCCAUGUCAGCGCCGUUUAACGGCGACAAGGCCGGGCGCUGGUGAUAGCCGUGCGCUCACCUCCGAUGGUCAUUCGGGACGGGGAUUCGACCUGCGUGACGCGCGCGUCAAGCCGCAUUCGACGGUGGUGGAAACCAGGAUGGGGACGGCGGCAGUCGGUGUCAACAUCGAGCAGGGCGAAGGAGGACGGGGCCGCGAGCGGAGGGGGCCAAGGGCAUGUGCAGGCGACAGAGGAGGAGCGCGAGCGGCAGUGGGCGUGGCCAGGGGCUCACGGGCGCAGUAACCGGCACGGUCGGUCAUGGCCAGAGGCCCACGAGCGCGACCAGGGGGGCACGCUGUCGGGGCGAGGCGCACACGCACGGGAGUAGGGCUCCGGCCGUGGCUAGAGGGGGGACGCGGGCGGCACAAAUGGAGACGAAAACAGGGGGAGGACAGAAAGGCGGCCUCACAUAUGUUUGUAAGGGGGGCAGCGGGCUCGGGGACGACGUGACGAUGGCGAAUUUGACGACCGCGACCGGUGGCUGCUGCGGAGGAAGAAGGUCCAAUGUCGAUGUGGCAGUGCGGCUCUGGUCGAACGAGUCCUCGUAGAUGAUGCAGACGAUGAUGGUGGUCCUCUAGGGCCUCAACUCGCGGCUCGGGGAGGCUGUUGGCUAUGGCUGCAGCGUGCGACGGCCGAAGGUGGAGGAGAUCGGUGGCGUCGAAGGGAUGGCUUCCCGGGAUCGAUUUGGUGGCGCAGUCGAAGCAGCGGACCGCGGCAGUGCUGCAGGGUAGGUCGGAGAUACUUGGGGGAGGCGGUGGUCGCGGCUACACGGCGGCCAUGGCCACGAUGGCGUUCGGCGAGGAGGGAGGGUGAGCGGCGAUCUGGAGAGCGAGGGGGAGGCGGAGAGGGAGAGCUGGGUGGAGUGGGCGAGUGGGGAGGGAGCCCGAGGCGUCGGGGCUGCCCUUAUCCUCUCGCUGGCAACGUGGC